Molecule: ribosomal RNA, 478 nt
Filed under: uncultured bacterium
Lineage: Bacteria
Description: bacterial SSU rRNA
Rfam family: Bacterial small subunit ribosomal RNA
Source: RNAcentral
UUAGGACGAACGCUGGCGGCGUGCUUAACACAUGCAAGUCGAGCGAUGAAGUUCCUUCGGGAAAUGGAUUAGCGGCGGACGGGUGAGUAACACGUGGGUAACCUGCCUCAUAGAGGGGAAUAGCCUUUCGAAAGGAAGAUUAAUGCCGCAUAAGAUUGUAAUGUCGCAUGACAUAGCAAUUAAAGGAGUAAUCCGCUAUGAGAUGGACCCGCGUCGCAUUAGCUAGUUGGUGAGGUAACGGCUCACCAAGGCGACGAUGCGUAGCCGACCUGAGAGGGUGAUCGGCCACAUUGGGACUGAGACACGGCCCAGACUCCUACGGGAGGCAGCAGUGGGGAAUAUUGCACAAUGGGGGAAACCCUGAUGCAGCAACGCCGCGUGAGUGAUGAAGGUCUUCGGAUUGUAAAGCUCUGUCUUUAGGGACGAUAAUGACGGUACCUAAGGAGGAAGCCACGGCUAACUACGUGCCAGCCGCAGC